Molecule: long non-coding RNA, 871 nt
Organism: Cimex lectularius (bed bug)
Lineage: Eukaryota; Metazoa; Arthropoda; Insecta; Hemiptera; Cimicidae
Exons: 4
Source: RefSeq, a predicted model, not a curated record
CUCGAAAUCUGGAAAGUUGGAAAACAACUUACUCUUCAGAGGGCCGGAUCGCGGCGGUUACGUCCGGAGGUGAGACGUCUCGGCCUCGUCCGCCUUUUCGUUAUCUUCCAGGAUAUGCCCCCCGGGUAUCCAGACAACAACCACCGUUUUAUCAAGACGCUUCGGUGCAUGGUAUUUCUCCAAAAGAGCACAAUGAGAGGGAUAGCAGUAACCAAGCUGGGAGAGUCGGUGGAGUCAAGGUAUAUUUACAGGACAUGCUCCAGUAAAAUACAACUUAAAAAAGGGGCCUAAUAGGAGAUGACUAAUCUCAACUGUUAAGGAGACCGAGACAACAUAGCAAAUCCUUUACAACUGGCUUGUAUACGGGAGUGAGAGCACAACGCAGCGCACAAACAAUAUACAACUGAUUGAUUUUCUGUUCAAACCGCAUCCAACUUGGCAAUAGGAGCUACUCCAGUUCAACCAUGACCUCAUUUGUAGGUUAUGCAAUCAGGUGGUUGAAACGACUUCCUAUACCAUCUUCGAAUGCGAAUCAACCGCUCAAUAGAGAAAUAACCUGGGAUACAAAAACAUCCCAGAAAAGGAAUUGCAGGAAAAACAGUCAAUGACGUUGUCCUAGUUAGAAGGAUCGAGUAGACUGCACUGAAGUAAGGCACUAGGAAAGUACAAUAACACAGAAGGCAGCAGUGCUUGGGGAACAAAAACCCCCUCUUCCUAUCCAUCAUCAUCAGCAGCAGAGUAAAUGCAAGUUUAAGGGCAAAAGGGGGAAAUCCCUAUUACACCAAAAGAAAGAAGAUACUUGGGGGACAUCGGUGGCCGCAACGGUUGGUUGAGAUACAAAAGUCAGUGUCACGAGCGGGAUUCGAACCCA